Bison bison bison is the source of this 124-nucleotide small nucleolar RNA. NCBI's taxonomy places the organism in Eukaryota, Metazoa, Chordata, Mammalia, Artiodactyla, Bovidae. The record is from Ensembl.
AAGCACAUUUCACUGUCUUUUUCUUUAUAUUAAGAGAAAAGAUAUUUCUGGUGUGCUAAGUAAACCCCUGGAGGUAAAUUAGCGGCAUGACUAAUUUAGCCAUGUCAGUCUCCUUCAGACAACC